UAUUAGAAAAAUUCAUCCAUACCAUUUGUACUAUUAAAAAAUAGUGUGACCGAUAAAAUAAUCAGACAGUCAUAUGUGGCAUGUUAUGUGUACCUCAUACUGACAUAUAGAAACCAAUUUUUAACAAUAAAAAUGGAUGAAAUUUUCAACA
This is a non-coding RNA of Gossypium raimondii (Peruvian cotton), 151 nucleotides long. The record is from Rfam. NCBI's taxonomy places the organism in Eukaryota, Viridiplantae, Streptophyta, Magnoliopsida, Malvales, Malvaceae.